Prinia subflava (tawny-flanked prinia) is the source of this 9143-nucleotide RNA transcript. It is a transcript of the gene named RAB3A interacting protein like 1, with no coding region annotated. The transcript is spliced from 12 exons. NCBI's taxonomy places the organism in Eukaryota, Metazoa, Chordata, Aves, Passeriformes, Cisticolidae. The record is from RefSeq and is a predicted model, not a curated record.
GCGGGUCUGGACGGGGAAGGAGUGGCGUCCGUGUGCCGGGGCUCUGUGUCUCGGUAGAAUUCUGGAAUGGUUUGUGUUGGAAGGGCUCUUAAAGUUCAUCUUCUCCUGCCACGGGCAGGGACACCUUCCGCUAGAUCGGGUCGCUCCAAGCCUUGUCCAACGUGGCGUAGACACUUCCAGGGAUGGGGCAGAUACGGCUUCUCUGGGAAAUCCAUUCCAUCACCCUCACGGGGAAGAAGUUGCGUGGAAGCCAACCAGGUCAGUUUUGAGGAAGACAGCCAGAAUCCACCUGCUGUGGGACACUGGAAGCCCCUGAUGCCAUCCAAAGGUGACAAGGAGGAGGCAGAGAGUGGAUGCCAGGAUGCUGGAGGUGUGCAUGAACCCCAGUCCACGGAGCAGCUCAACAUGUCCCGGCUGCGCAGCUCCUCGGUGGAGAUCCGGGAGAAGGGCUCUGAGUUCCUCAGAGAUGAGCUGCACAAAGCACAGAAGGAGCUGAAGCUCAAGGACAAAGAAUGUGAGAGAUUGUCAAAAGUCAGGGAACAGCUGGAGCAGGAACUUGAGGAGUUAACAGCCAGCCUGUUUGAGGAAGCCCACAAGAUGGUGAGAGAAGCCAACACCAAACAGGCUGCGGCAGAGAAGCAGCUCAGGGAGGCCCGGGGCAAGAUUGACAUGCUGCAGGCGGAGGUGACAGCCCUGAAGACGCUGGUGAUCACAUCCACACCGUCCUCCCCCAACCGGGAGCUGCACCCUCAGCUGCAGAGCCCGUGCAAAGCCGGCUUCAGGAAGGGCCACGGGCGGAACAAGAGCACCAGCAGCGCCGUGGUGUCAGCUGCCAGCCAGAGCGCGGCUCCAGAGCCCGUCAGCCGCGAGUGCAGAGAGGUCGACUCCAUUUUAUUUGCCGAGUUCCAGGCCUGGAAGGAAUCUCCAACUUUGGACAAAUCCUGCUCCUUCCUGGACAGAAUUUACCGAGAAGAUGUAGGACCUUGUCUGGACUUCCCCAAGCAGGAGCUGUCGGAGCUGGUGCGAGUUGCUGUGGAGCAGAACACCCUCACUAUCGAGCCAGUGGCCUCCCAGACUGUCCCUGUGGGGAAGGUGGCAGCAGAAGAGUGUGGUGGCCCCAAGAAAUGUGCUCUGAGUGGCCUCCCCAGGACCUGCAAGCACCGGAUCAUGCUGGGGGAUUCUGGGAGUUACUACUACAUUUCCCCUUCCUGCAGGGCCAGGAUCACAGCAGUGUGCAACUUCUUCACCUACAUCCGCUAUAUCCAGCAAGGCCUGGUGAGGCAGGAUGUGGAGCUGAUGUACUGGGAGGUCAUGCGGCUCCGGAGGGAGAUGUCUCUGGCCAAACUUGGAUUUUAUCCCAGCGAGAUGUAAGCACAGCCCUGAGCCUGGAAGGAAACUGCUCCUGGAGGAAGGGCUUGGAGUGCAGUGCCUGUCUUGCUCCCUCCCACCUUCCCUCUGCCUGGAGCAAGGAGCAAGAGGCACAAGUUCCACCUUCAGCUGUCCCACUCCUCCAAGUGUGACUGGAAUGCAGCUGCCACGCUGCCCCUGGAGCUGGGCUGGCCCUGGCUGCUCCAGGAUGGCCAUCCAUGGACUCUGGAGUCUCCUAUAUGCAGUGUAUAUCCAUUUUUUUAAACUUUUUGUUUUUAUAUGCAGCCUGCUUUGGCAUAACCCAAGGCCAGGCCUGUGCAGGGUGGGAAUUCUGGACCUUCCUUGUGAGCCAGCCUGUCAGGACAGAUGCUGGCUGUCUGUUCCACUUCUUUAUUUGGGAUGGAGGGUGCUGUCCCCGAGGUCCUGCUGACCACAGCAGCCCUGAAAAUGCCAGCAGAGCACAAUAAUCUUGAACAGUUUGUUUCCAAGUACUUCCUUGUUCCUUUUCAAGGAGCCUGCGAGAGAAGCUUGUUGCCAGCAGAGUCACAAAGAGGGAUUUGUUCCUGUUUUUAGCUGGAUGUUUGGCACUGGGUUACGCAGGCUGGGGAAUGGCUGGAGCUGUGCACCUGGGGCCUCCAGCAGAAGAAAGGGAGAAGGGAAAUUCUCUAACUCCCAGCUGGCUGCAGGGUUCUUUCCCCCUGGACUAGGGAAUCUGCUGCAGUUGUCAGAGGCAGAUGCAGGACUCAGUGACAGUCCCUGGUGUGUCCCCCAUGAUGCCCCUAAACACAAACCUCACCCACAAACAAUCCUUGGAGCUGUUCCUGCUCUUGAGGGAGCUUUGGGCAGUCCUGUUCCCACUCUUCAGGAAGAACCCAUGUUCCCAGGUUGGUUCUUUGUGUCUCCAGGAGGAGCAUGCCCAGGCUGGGCAGUGCCAAAGCCCAGCAAUUCCUUCCCAGUGUUACAUCAGACCUGGAGGUGCCUGUCCACUGGGAAUCACAGCUUUUCCUGGGCUGCCAUUCCCUGGGGAGGGAAUCUCAGACCUCUUUGUGUGCACAUGAGGGAUGUGGCUGAGGUUCCUGCCUGGCCAAAAUGUGCUGGGAGGGGGGAUGUCACUGGAGCUGUAGGAAUGCACAGGCCUGACACAUCCUGAACUCAGACCCAGGUUUAUUAAAGCCAUGACAGUAUUUUGUAGCUAAUUUAGACUUUUUUUCAGUGACUCUGGAAUCAGCUCAGCCAUCACCCACCCUGGGGUUUUCACUUCUGACAGGGUUGUCACCCUGUCCCUCUGCCACCCUCGGCAAGAUGGUGCCCAUCCUCAGCUCCAGAAUUCCAUCCUCUCCUGAAGGAUGUUACAGUAGGAACUCGAUUUCACUUCCACUGAGCUGCUGGAUUUUGUCUAGGGGAGAGAGAAAUAACACAGCUUUAGAUUCUCCAGCUGUGGAUUCCAGGUCAGGUGAAUUCCACCCCUGGAAUUUCUCCUGGCAUCUCUUCCCCCUGUCCUUUUGAUCUCUCCAUGUCUUCCUGUGCCGUGAGCUGCUACACUGCACAAACGUUGCAGCACUGGGCAUGAGACGAUCUCUGUGGGUAAGGAGAUCCUUUGGUUUGUGGGAUAUUUUUUCCCCCUCGGUGUCACGUUGAAAAGCACUUUGAGAUGGAAGGAACUGGAGCAAUGCCUUGUCUUGCAUUUGGAAUGAAGCAGAGAGAACAAUUUGUGAAGGAAAAUGAAGUCACUCCGUUAGCCGCGGGAUGGUUGCACCCUGCUCUUUCAUAAAGGAAAAUAAACAUUUGCUAUUAACCUCUACAAGCCUGGUUGGAGCUGCUGGAGGAUUUGGGAUGCAAGAAAAAAGCCUACAUCCAGGAUGGGGUUUGGGAUGCUUUUAUUCAUCAGAGCAGGUGCCUGUUCUUCCCGAGGGAAGCUGAGGCUUCUCCUGCUCGGUUGUGUCUCCUUUAAUUUGCUGGCUUGAAGCACUGCACGGGUGCUGGGUAAUUGGAGGAUCUUCUUCCUUCCUCUUUCCUCAUUAGUCUCCCCCUUCUCCUCUCAGCAGGCAGAGGUUUUGGGUCGCUCUGGUUUCACUAAAACCCCUUGCUCUCCUCCCUGCUCAGCUCUGCACAUUAACAUGGAAGAUCUCCUCAUCCCCUCUGGGAGAUGACAGUGGGAGAGUUGUGUACAGAAAGGGAUUUAAUUUCGUUUUCUAUUAAAAAGCCGCGCAAGAAUCUGGUUGUGCAGCACAGUCAGGCAGCCACGAGAGGGCACAGGCAGCCCAGGCAGGGACUGUCCUCCCUCCCUCAUUCCCUCCCUCUCUUCCCUGGGAGAAUGGAGCAUCCUCAGGUCCCACCCGCUUCUGACCCUCCCUGCAGCCUCUUGACCGGAAAACAUUCCUUCCCUGUGCUGCUGGGAAAGGGAAUUGGGCAGCUGGAGAGUGCAAAGGAAAGGAAGGAUUUGGAUUUCUGUAAGGGAUGGCCAGCUGAGAGACUGGGCAUGUUUCGCUGUGUCUGGAUCUUUCAGUGUAAUGUCAGCAGGGACUGCUGUCAGAAACUUCCCUGUGACAUUGGUUCCUAAACUUGUAAUGAAUGAGAAGACAUCAUGUUCCCCAUUCCCAACCUUUUCCACCAGAACUUUACUGCUGGUUUUCCCCUCAUAAAUAACCAGAGUUUGAGCAGAGUUUCUGGUCCUCUGGUACCUCCAGUACCUCCUGCAAUCUUCUUGCAUCUAUUUGCUCCCACAAAGGGUCUGCCAGCCUAUCCUGGGCCGAAAUAAAGAGCUUCAAAGGGAUGGGAGUUCCAAAAUCUGCUUUAAUAGAUGUGUUUAACUUGCUUGAUUUUGUUUUCAUCCCUGUUUCCCUCGAGUUUGGGAGAGAAACGGGAUAUAUGGAUACUUGGAUGAUGGUGGAGGUUAGUGUUGUGCACAAUUAGGUGCUUUUAAGCAUUUGAAAACUAGUAUUUGAGAAAGUGAGAUUUAGACCAGAGAGAUUUGGUUGCUCCUGGCAGUUCCCUUUGUCUGCUGGCUGUGUCCUUUCCCUGCCUGUGGAAUUACUCCAGGUUUGCUCAGGGCUGUAAAUCAGGCUGUCUUUGCACAGCUGGUCAGGCUGUCCCCACACACCCACAGAGACAGAUGGUUCCUGUUGCCAGAAACCAACAAGUGAAUGAUUUUUUAGUUAUUAUUAUUAUUUGCUCCAGAUGCAAUCAAGGAAAAAUGUUGAAAAAAGAGAAGAUAAGCAGCUGGCUUCAGAAAAGUCAGGACUUUCCAAGCUUUCCUGACCUUCCUGUGGGAUGAAUCCACCAAAGCAGUGAGGAUGCCUGCAGAACACUCAACACUGGGCUAGCUAUGGGGAAAUUCCAGUCAUUUUGGACACUCAAGGAGCGUGGCCCUGCCAGGAAAAAGUCAGAUGUCCUGGCACAGCUCUCAGUGUGCACGUGGCACUCAGGGCCGGGGCUGGCCAGCUCUGCCAAGGCAACCCGUUCUUAAUAGGAGCAAAUCCCUGUGGUGCCACCAGUGCUGGGAGCCAGGAGGUCAGGUUUGCUGUUUAUCAUGUCAAUAUUCCCAUGUUUGUGCAAGGCUCGCUGGGCUGAGCUGCAAGGCUGACCUUAGCCAGGCUGAGAAGGCAGCUGGACUUUGUGCUGGUUUAUAUAACUUGAGAGAAUGUUUCACCUCCUUUGGGAGUGGAUUAGGAGCGAAAGGGAAUGUAAGGAAAAUGGGGCUCGGCCUAGUUGUGGGCUGGAUGUGAGGGGGAAAAGGGAAAAUGGCUUUGGAGUGGCCUUGAGAUGAAGAAGGAUGGAUUUGGAUGAGGUAUUGGGAAGAAAUCCUUCCCUGUAGGGCUGCUGAGGCCCUGGCACAGGGUGCCCAGAGAAGCUGUGGCUGUCCCUGCACCCCUGGAAGUGUUUCAGGCCAGGUUGGAUGGGGCUUGGAGCAGCCUGGGAUAUAGUGCACGGUGUUCCUGCCCAUGGCAGGGGUUUGGAAUUAGAUGAGCUUUGAAAUCCCUUCCAACCCAAACCAUUCUGGGAUUCUGUGAUAAAUCUGAGCUGCCAGUGGUGUCCUGGCUUAGGAGAUGAGAUGGCACUGGCUGGAAUGAUGAAGCAGAGGGACAGCAGGGAAAGCUUAGGAAGGAAAAGGUGCUCCUUAGCUUUUGUUUGGCUUAAUCUUGAAAUGAUUCCCAUUGUAGGAGAAAACAUCAGCUGCACAGGGAAAGCUGAGUCACUGGUACAAAUCUGGGUCCUUAGAAGUGAUUCCAGUGAUGGAAAAGCCAUUUGUGCAGGAGUCCCAAAACCAGCUCCCCAUGGGACUGUGCCAGAGAGGGCAGCUGGGAGAAGGAAGCUGAAGGUGGAGGUGUUCCCCAGCAAGCUUUGCAGUGCAAACCCCAGCACUCAGUCCUGUGCUGCUCACAGAGCUUCCAGGGAUGUCCAUGUCGGCACACAGAAUAUCCUCAGCUUUUUACUCUGCUAAUGCUUCCAGUUUCUGCUCCCUCGCUGGUUCUGGGGCUGCAGGCUGCCCUCUGGCAGAUGUAGCCAUGGGAUUGGCUCAAGGACAGCUCCCUGCCCUUAAUUCCCCUGGCUCACUGUGCUAAUUCUGCUCUGGUAAUCACCUUAGAGUCAAUUUAAGGUGCUUCACGCCAAUGGACACUUAUGUGGGUCACAACUCAGUGACACCUUCGCUCUUUCUGCAUCAGCACCUGCACAGAGGUGACUUGUCCCUUGCCUUUGGUGACCUUGCCCUUGGUCAGGCCACCAGUGCCACCUGGCAAAACCAGGAGAAAGGAGGGAAGCACCAGUCCAACCUUCCAUCAAACUGAGGACAGUGAUAAAUAACAUCUCAGGAGAGCUGGAGCAAUGUCUGAUGAUGCCCAUGGUGCUUUUGGGCAAGGGAAGUUUUGCAAUCACGCCAAAAUCCUGGCAGUUCUGGCACACAUUAGUCCUUAAUAGGAGAGGGAAACUGGGUUCCAAAUCUGAUUCAUUUCACAUUGGAAUGGUGUUUUUGUGGAGAAGACCUCGUGGGCUGCGUUUGAGUAGUGCCUGAACUAACUGAGUUGGGAAAAUCCAAACCCACAUUUUUCUGUUGUCAGCAGUUGGACAUCACUACUUUCUCCUCACUGUGCUGGUUUUAAAAGCCUGGAUUUACACACUCAAAAUACACAAAUGACUUAAACCUUCUCUCUUACUGCAGCACCUGGGACUGAUCCUUGUCCCAACACCACCGCAUCCAGGAGAGCUUCUCUGAAACCAUUUACUAAAUAUUCAAAAAGAGACCUUAAAAACAGUUUCUCUGUUUAGAGAGACAUUGCAGAAAGGAAAUUGCUUCUUAAUCUCUGUCCUCUGUUUUGUGUUCGAUUGAUUUGUGCACCAAGGGGCAGAGCAGGCACAACAUCUCUUUGCUUUUAAUUACUUAUUUAUUUUAUGCAGACAGAAACAUUCCCAGGGAAUGGUUUGGGCUGGAAGGGAUCUGUAAAGAUCAUCCAGCUCUGGACUUGCCCAGAAGCUCCUGCUGCACCAUUCAAGCCCAGACAGUGUGUUCCUGUGCAGUUGUUGAUUUUCUGCAGGGAUGUGGAAGGAGUCAUGGUGCUGGAAUGCUGCUGGAACACUGCGGCUUCACCAUUCCUUGCCCUCUAGUGCUGUUGGAUUCCGUUUCACUCGCAUACCUUCACCAAAUCAGGUGUUCAGUUUUAGCCCUCGGUGAGCUCCAGCGUGAUGGGGAGACAAGAAUGAGCAAGGCAUGGAACUGGAACUGGCAGCAGCGCUUUGGGUUCUGUUCACACUUUAUUUCCCCAUCGCCAGGGUGAUGUUGAAGCACAGGUUGUGCUGCUUUGUUCCAUUUGGAAUUGUGAGCGUGGUCUAAAGGUUUGUGGACUUGCAGAGGGUGAUAAUCUCAACUCUGAGUGAUUUACCUGGAGAUGCUGGACCAGGAACUGGCUGCAGCUGAGAAACCAACAGCAUCUUCAGCUCAGAAUCCAAACUUGCAGGUUUUAUCAGGCAUCUGUAAGCAAUAAGGGAACAAAACACACAGAGAAAGUGCAAUAUGGCUCCUAUAUUUUAUAAAAAAAACAACCACUGCUUAAUGAAGGCCAGGCUAAUUGAGGCCAAUUAAAUUAAUCAGGCAAGUGAAUCAGCCACACCCAUUCAAGGAGGAUGGGUGCAAUCACAGGCAAUUACUGUGAUUAAUCCUCUCAUUGUCCUCCCCACAGCCAGCACCUGGCCAAGAAGUUGGGGAGUUACCUAACUGUGCUCAGGAGGUGCUGCAGGCGAAGGUGGUGCUUCCAGAGUUUUAAAAACCUGUUGCAAGAAGGAAGCUCCCAAAUGUGGCUGCCCCAUCCCGGGAAGCGUUCAAGGCCAUCUUGGAGGGGAUGAAAACUGCACAUCUGAACACCAUGAAGCUGUUUCUCCCCAUCCUAAUGCCACACACAAAUUAUAUUGUGAAGAAGUUGCCUGAAACCUCUAGAACUGGGCCCCUGCAGAGAUGAGGGGGAGCAGCAGCAUUGAUCCUGGGAUGGUGAAGGCUAAUAAAGAAAUCCAUCUGUGCUAUUAAAGUCAAUGGUAUCAAAGUAAUGCCACUAAUUUUACCACAUGAAGUGGAAAAAGGACUUUCCACACUCACUGGCUAGCAGCUCCUCCAUAAAAAGCCCCAGGAAAACCAAGGGAAGCCAUAAUAAGCAAGUCUGAUCCAGGUCCUUUUUUAGUUUGCUUCCACAGUGUUCUUGGCUUGGGAUCUGAUUUUGAACUGCUAAAAAAAAAAACAGUUACAAGGCUAAAUCUGAAACUGGAGCUUGAAUCACUCUUGAUGUCAAAUCCUACUCUGACUCUUUACAAUUCUGAAUUUGACCAUGCUUUUGAUCUCAGAGCAAAACCUGGGUGGUGACAUUGCCACUCUAGAAAUGUCCCAACUUGCUUCGUUGGCAUCUCCAUGCCACCUGCUUGUAGGUUUGCAUGGCAGAAGGCACUCCAAGAGGGAACAAAUUCCCUGAGCACCACUGACUCUGGAACAAAACACAUAAAGCAUUUGUAUGGUCAACAAAUAGUUAUGAUUUUAUUGAGUCGUAGAAUACAUAAAGAAAAAAAUGUUCUUUUUGAGUUACUGGAUUUUUUUUUUUUUUAAGAAUUAAAAAAAAACCCAGGAGCUGUCCUAAAAGGAAUGUGGGUUUGCUGUUUUAACACUGGAAUGUUAGGGCUUUGUUAGGAAGGCUUUCUUGGGAAAGCAUCUACUAAAGAAAAGGAUGUCUUUGCCCUAAUGAAGACCUCAAAUCCAGCCAGAGAGCUCAGCCCCUGCAGCAGGGAAUGAUGCACAGGGGUCCUGAUGAGCCUCCCAAGCCCUAGUUCACUGAGCAGCUGGGAUCUAGACUCCUCAAAUCCAUGCUUGGAGGGAAAACUCCAAGGAAAGUCCCCUAGUUCCUACUGUGCCUCUCCCUGGAAACUGGGGGCAGUGAGUCCCUGCUGCCAGAGCUGUGGGAGGGGGGCUCAGUGUGAGAUCCAGCUCACUCCGAGGUGCCUGUGGAUGUCACCAGUCCCUGCCACCCCCUCUGAGCCCCAGCUCUGCCCUGUCCUGCCCUGUGUCUCCAGCACAGCCCUCCAGGCAGAUUCCAGCCAUGCUGGGAGAUCAUGGGACACCUGAUUCCAAAUUCCUCCUCUUUUACCCCUCAGUAUUUUUUCUCCCACUCUCAUGCAUCCCUUCCCAACUCCUGACCUUCCCAAACUUCUCCCAUCUCUCAUUCUCCUCCCAAAACACACCCAGAGCUUCUCUUUGCUGCAGUUUUUGCUUUUCUCUGGCAUCCUCGAUCAUCCUGGUCCUCCAG